CCUACGGGAGGCAGCAGUGGGGGAUAUUGCACAAUGGGGGAAACCCUGAUGCAGCGACGCCGCGUGAGUGAAGAAGUAUUUCGGUAUGGAAAGCUCUAGCAGCAGGGAACGAAAUGACAGGAACUGACCAAGAAGCCCCGGCUAACUACGGGCCAGGAGCCGCGGGAAAGCGUAGGGGGCAAGCGUUAUCCCGAUUUACUGGGUGUAAAGGGGACGUAAACGGUGAUGGAAGUCUGGAGUGAAAGCCCAGGGCCCAACCCCGGGACUGCUUUGGAAACUGUGUAACUGGAGUACAGGAGGGGCAGGCGGAAUUCCUGGUGUAGCGGUGAAAUGCGUAGAUAUCAGGAGGAACACCGGCGGCGAAGGCGGCCUGCUGGACUGAAACUGACGUUGAGGCUCGAAAGCGUGGGGAGCAAACAGGAUUAGAUACCCCGGUAGUC
RNAcentral lists this ribosomal RNA (440 nucleotides) under uncultured bacterium. RNAcentral describes it as "partial 16S ribosomal RNA". It matches the Rfam family "Bacterial small subunit ribosomal RNA", at positions 338 to 795 of the family's 1533-position model. The record is from RNAcentral.